Molecule: ribosomal RNA, 534 nt
Filed under: Balanus trigonus
Lineage: Eukaryota; Metazoa; Arthropoda; Thecostraca; Balanomorpha; Balanidae
Description: partial 16S ribosomal RNA
Rfam family: Bacterial large subunit ribosomal RNA
Source: RNAcentral
UUCCUCUUAGUUUAAGAGGUAAGGCCUGCUCACUGAAUUAUUUUAAAGAGCCGCAGUAUCCUAACUGUGCUAAGGUAGCAUAAUCAUUAGUCUUUUAAUUGGAGACUGGUAUGAAUGGCUAAACGAGAAAUUGACUUUUUUUGUUAUAAAUAAUUGAAUUUAAUUUUUUAGUGAAAAAGCUACAAUUAUUCAGAAAGACGAGAAGACCCUAUAGAGUUUUAUACUAAAUUGUUUAUUUUUCUUAUUUGAUUUUUUUGGAUAAAUAAAUGAAAAGUAUUUUGUUGGGGCGACAUUAAGAUAAAAAAAACUCUUUAUUUUUUUAAUUUUUAUAAAAAGAAAGUUUGAUCCUUUAUAAGAGAUUAAAAGAUAAAAUUACCUUAGGGAUAACAGCGUAAUCUUUUUUGAGAGUUCUAAUCGACAAAAAGGUUUGCGACCUCGAUGUUGGACUAAAAUUUAGGCAGGGUGCAGCAGUUCUGCUUUAAGGUCUGUUCGACCUAUAAUAUUUUAUACGAUCUGAGUUCAGACCGGCGUAAG